GAUGAACGCUGGCGGCGUGCUUAACACAUGCAAGUCGAACGGAAAGGCUCCUGCUUGCAGGGGUACUCGAGUGGCGAACGGGUGAGUAACACGUGGGUGAUCUGCCCUGCACUUCGGGAUAAGCCUGGGAAACUGGGUCUAAUACCGGAUAGGACGAUGGUUUGGAUGCCAUUGUGGAAAGUUUUUUCGGUAUGGGAUGAGCUCGCGGCCUAUCAGCUUGUUGGUGGGGUAAUGGCCUACCAAGGCGUCGACGGGUAGCCGGCCUGAGAGGGUGUACGGCCACAUUGGGACUGAGAUACGGACCAGACUCCUACGGGAGGCAGCAGUGGGGAAUAUUGCACAAUGGGCGCAAGCCUGAUGCAGCGACGCCGCGUGGGGGAUGACGGCCUUCGGGUUGUAAACUCCUUUCGCUAGGGACGAAGCGCAAGUGACGGUACCUGGAGAAGAAGCACCGGCUAACUACGUG
This 466-nucleotide ribosomal RNA is filed under the name uncultured bacterium. RNAcentral describes it as "partial 16S ribosomal RNA". It matches the Rfam family "Bacterial small subunit ribosomal RNA", at positions 28 to 507 of the family's 1533-position model. The record is from RNAcentral.